RNAcentral lists this ribosomal RNA (394 nucleotides) under Metridium senile (brown sea anemone). RNAcentral describes it as "partial 18S ribosomal RNA". It matches the Rfam family "Eukaryotic small subunit ribosomal RNA", at positions 144 to 537 of the family's 1831-position model. The record is from RNAcentral. Lineage: Eukaryota; Metazoa; Cnidaria; Anthozoa; Actiniaria; Metridiidae.
AUACCNGUGGUAAUUCUAGAGCUAAUACAUGCGAAAAGUCCCGACUUCUGGAAGGGAUGUAUUUAUUAGAUUCAAAACCAAUGCGNGUUCUGCCCNGUUCUUUGGUGAUUCAUAAUAACUSUUCGAAUCGCACGGCCUUGCGCUGGCGAUGUUUCAUUCNAAUUUCUGCCCUAUCAACUGUCGAUGGUAAGGUAUUGGCUUACCAUGGUUACAACGGGUGACGGAGAAUUAGGGUUCGAUUCCGGAGANGGAGCCUGAGAAACGGCUACCACAUCCAAGGAAGGCAGCAGGCGCNNNAAUUACCCAAUCCUGACGCAGGGAGGUAGUGACUAGAAAUAACAAUACAGGGCUUUUCUAAGUCUUGUAAUUGGAAUGAGUACAACUUAAAUCCUUU